This 931-nucleotide ribosomal RNA is filed under the name Stenotrophomonas rhizophila. RNAcentral's name for it is "bacterial SSU rRNA". It matches the Rfam family "Bacterial small subunit ribosomal RNA", at positions 60 to 978 of the family's 1533-position model. The record is from RNAcentral. Lineage: Bacteria; Pseudomonadati; Pseudomonadota; Gammaproteobacteria; Lysobacterales; Lysobacteraceae.
AGUCGAACGGCAGCACAGUAAGAGCUUGCUCUUAUGGGUGGCGAGUGGCGGACGGGUGAGGAAUACAUCGGAAUCUACCUUUUCGUGGGGGAUAACGUAGGGAAACUUACGCUAAUACCGCAUACGACCUUCGGGUGAAAGCAGGGGACCUUCGGGCCUUGCGCGGAUAGAUGAGCCGAUGUCGGAUUAGCUAGUUGGCGGGGUAAAGGCCCACCAAGGCGACGAUCCGUAGCUGGUCUGAGAGGAUGAUCAGCCAACUGGAACUGAGACACGGUCCAGACUCCUACGGGAGGCAGCAGUGGGGAAUAUUGGACAAUGGGCGCAAGCCUGAUCCAGCCAUACCGCGUGGGUGAAGAAGGCCUUCGGGUUGUAAAGCCCUUUUGUUGGGAAAGAAAAGCAGCCAGUUAAUACCUGGUUGUUCUGACGGUACCCAAAGAAUAAGCACCGGCUAACUUCGUGCCAGCAGCCGCGGUAAUACGAAGGGUGCAAGCGUUACUCGGAAUUACUGGGCGUAAAGCGUGCGUAGGUGGUUGUUUAAGUCUGUUGUGAAAGCCCUGGGCUCAACCUGGGAAUUGCAGUGGAUACUGGGCGACUAGAGUGUGGUAGAGGGUAGUGGAAUUCCUGGUGUAGCAGUGAAAUGCGUAGAGAUCAGGAGGAACAUCCAUGGCGAAGGCAGCUACCUGGACCAACACUGACACUGAGGCACGAAAGCGUGGGGAGCAAACAGGAUUAGAUACCCUGGUAGUCCACGCCCUAAACGAUGCGAACUGGAUGUUGGGUGCAAUUUGGCACGCAGUAUCGAAGCUAACGCGUUAAGUUCGCCGCCUGGGGAGUACGGUCGCAAGACUGAAACUCAAAGGAAUUGACGGGGGCCCGCACAAGCGGUGGAGUAUGUGGUUUAAUUCGAUGCAACGCGAAGAACCUUACCUGG